UAAUUUAUAUAUUUUAGAAUGGACACCAGAAGUAAUUAAAUGUGUAAUGGAAAAGGACAAAGUGAUCGACGAACAAGGUUUAGUCAACAAAGAAAAACUUUUUGCUAAUUAUGAUAAACUCAUUUCCGAUGCGGCCAAGUUGAAGGAAGCAAAAGACAUCUCCACCACAUGUUUUCAGCAAGCCCAAUCAGGAAGCAAUGAUGAAAAGACUAUGACGGCUAUACGGUGCGCAGUACAUGUAGCAGAGCUAUUUGAUAAGCCCGAAUAAAGGAAGAAAGUACAUUUUUUCUCUUGCGUAGUAUUCAUAUAAUAAACUAAUAAGUAAUGCAAUCUCGCGUAUAUGAUUAAAUAUUAAUAAUUCUGAUUUUAUAACUAUACAUUCUCGAAGAUUUUAUAUAAAACCUUCUUGUUUUAUGAAUUGUAAUUAACUUUGUAUGCUUGUAUUCAAUAAAAUAUAAUACUUAA
Long non-coding RNA from Camponotus floridanus (Florida carpenter ant), 465 nucleotides. RefSeq lists it as uncharacterized. NCBI's taxonomy places the organism in Eukaryota, Metazoa, Arthropoda, Insecta, Hymenoptera, Formicidae. The record is from RefSeq and is a predicted model, not a curated record. The transcript is spliced from 3 exons.